AUUGAACGCUGGCGGCAGGCCUAACACAUGCAAGUCGAGCGGAUGAAAGGGGCUUGCUCCUGGAUUCAGCGGCGGACGGGUGAGUAAUGCGCAGGAAUCUACCUCGUAGUGGGGGAUAACGUCUCGAAAGGGGCGCUAAUACCGCAUACGUUCUGAGGAAGAAAGCAGGGGGACCUUCGGGCCUUGCGCUAUGAGAUGAGCUUGCGUCCGAUUAGCUAGUUGGUGGGGUAAAGGCCUACCAAGGCGACGAUCGGUAACUGGUCUGAGAGGAUGAUCAGUCACACUGGAACUGAGACACGGUCCAGACUCCUACGGGAGGCAGCAGUGGGGAAUAUUGGACAAUGGGGGGCAACCCUGAUCCAGCCAUGCCGCGUGUGUGAAGAAGGCCUUCGGGUUGGUUAAAGGAC
RNAcentral lists this ribosomal RNA (407 nucleotides) under uncultured bacterium. Its description in RNAcentral is "bacterial SSU rRNA". It matches the Rfam family "Bacterial small subunit ribosomal RNA", at positions 30 to 433 of the family's 1533-position model. The record is from RNAcentral.